CCAUUAUUCUGAAUGUGGAUUUAUAGCCUAUAUAUAUCAAAUGAGACCUAGAAAGAAUUUGCUUCGCACAUAUAUAUGCAUGCAUCUUGUAUAAUGCACACUUGUCCAACCUUCCGGAGGUGAGAAUUUAUAUAUAGAGUUUGGGAAUUAAUUAUGAUGGAGUUGGCAAACACACACACACACACACACACACACACACACACACAUACACACACACUCUCAACAGCAGCCCUGCUGGAAAUGUUCGUUAGCCUUUAUCAGCAAAAGUUCUGCCCCCUCAGCUAUUCCUUUUUUUUUUAAUGUUUCAUUUAUUUUAGAAAGAGCGCAAAUGGGAGAGGGGCAGAGACAGAGGAUCUGAAGUGGGCUCUGUGCUGACAGCAGCGAGCCCCAUGCAGGGCUUGAACUCGUGAACCACCUUGAGAUCGUGACCUGAGCCAAAGUCGGACCCUCAACCAACUGAGCCACCCAGGUGCCCCUCAGAAAUGGAAUCCCAGAAAAUUCACCCAGGACCUGGACUUCAGUCUCCUUCUGACCGUGAUCACGAUGCAACGUCUUCAGGAAGACCCCACCCCAGGUGGUCAAACAGUGCCCUGAGCUAGCACUGAAGCUGGAUGACAGAUGAGGACGGACAGAUCUGAGGAGAGGCCGGGGAGUACGUGUAUGAAAAACAGUCAUUAGCUCUUACAGCCCGGAGUGCUGUGCCACUCACAAAGCCCUUCUCUAUACUCCAGGUCAUUUCCUCCCAGCCUCACUCUUCUGUGAAGAACUUAGAAUAAUCAUCUUGAUACCAGAGACGAAGAAGAUAAGACCCAGCAGGUGUAAAAAGCCUGACUGUCGGACAUCCAGACCUUGGCAGAAAGGGAAUUUGAACUUGAAUUUUUGGUACCACGUUGAUGCUCUUCUGAAGUUCAGAGCUCAGGCGGCUUUGUUCAUCAAAAGCCUACUGACCGGCCCUGGAGCCGAAGAUCCGGGCUUGCUGGAGAGCAGUGAAGGAAUGGAGCUUUUAAGGACCGCUGCUUGAGCUCAGUGCCAAGGUUACCAUUUCCAUUGUCUUCCUGUAGCAAAUCCUGUGGAAAUGGAAGUUGUACUUCAGUUAAGGAAGUGUCCAGGAUUCCUGAGUGAUUCCAGCAACAUCAGCAAAAUCUGGAGAGAAAAUUGGCUGGAGACCAAUCAAACAGCAAGAGCAGGGAUUCCAGCCCCCUCCCCGUGGACCUAUAUUUUCACCACAGCCAUUUUUGAUCCUCAAACACAGUGGCUGAUGCGGCUUUCAGUAAGAGAAAGGGAGAUAGGCCAGACUCCUGGAAAGGACAUGGACCCACUGGAGAAGAAGAAACCGAGCUCUGCCAUCCACUGCUGGGCAACCUUUAGCAAAUCACCAAACGUCUCACAACUACCUUUGCAAAAAUGUCCGCCACAUCUAUCUCAGACAAGUUUUUGUUUGUUUCUUUGUUUGUUUGUUUGUUUGGUGUGUGCAUGAAUGCCCAAUAAGAUCCUGAACAUGAAACCAUCUUCAAAUGCAAAAUACUACUCAAACAUAAAGCAGUUUCAAGAGUCUGAUCGCCCUUGUCAUGUUAUUAACCACUCAGUGGCAAUCCUUGACAUUGCCAGCGGCCUAGUGAGCUAACGACCUCUUCACUCAGGGCAUGGGGAGGAGAACUCUAGGGUAAGCCUCCCUCUCUGGUGCCCAAAAGAGAUCCCCCAUGAAGGAGAGAUAUGAGCUCAUUGUGACUUUCUGAAGUUGUGUUUAUUUAGGUUUUUUCCUGUCAACUCAUAGCUUUUUUGGGGGAAAAGAAACGUCUUACCCACAGUGGCUUAUGCUAGAGAAAUAAAAAAAUAAU
Molecule: long non-coding RNA, 1838 nt
Organism: Acinonyx jubatus (cheetah)
Lineage: Eukaryota; Metazoa; Chordata; Mammalia; Carnivora; Felidae
Exons: 3
Source: RefSeq, a predicted model, not a curated record